RNAcentral lists this ribosomal RNA (444 nucleotides) under uncultured Deferribacter sp. RNAcentral describes it as "bacterial SSU rRNA". It matches the Rfam family "Bacterial small subunit ribosomal RNA", at positions 56 to 523 of the family's 1533-position model. Lineage: Bacteria; Pseudomonadati; Deferribacterota; Deferribacteres; Deferribacterales; Deferribacteraceae. The record is from RNAcentral.
UGCAGUUGAACGGNUGCUCAUGGAAGCUUGCUGAAGUGAGCGAUAGUAGCGGACGGGUGAGUAAUGCAUGAGUACCUGCCCGCGGGAGGGGGACAACAGUUGGAAACGGCUGCUAAUACCCCGUACGCCGAGAGGUGAAAGGGAGCGAUUCCGCCCGCGGAGGGGUUCAUGUCCUAUCCGCUGGUUGGUGAGGUAACGGCUCACCAAGGCGACUACGGGUACCCGGCCUGACAGGGUGAACGGCCACACUGGAACUGAAACACGGUCCGGACUCCUACGGAAGGCAGCAGUGGGGAAUAUUGGGCAAUGGGGGCAACCCUGACCCAGCCACGCCGCGGGAGGGAAGAAGGGCUUCGGUUCAUAAACCUCUUUUUAACGGAAAAAAGCAGAUGACGGUACCGUUCGAAUAACUCCCGGCUAACUACGUGCCAGCAGCCGCGGUAA